GACGAACCGUGCGAACGUUAUUCGGAAUCACUGGGCUUAAAGCGCGUGUAGGCGGGACGGCACGUCUGUCGCUGAAAUCCCCCGGCUCAACCGGGGAACGGGCGCGGAUACGACCGUCCUGGAGGGGCGUAGGGGGACCUGGAACUUCCGGUGGAGCGGUGAAAUGCGUUGAGAUCGGAAGGAACGCCCGUGGCGACAGCGAGGUCCUGGACGCUUACUGACGCUGAGACGCGAAAGCCAGGGGAGCGAACGGG
This 254-nucleotide ribosomal RNA is filed under the name uncultured bacterium. Its description in RNAcentral is "partial 16S ribosomal RNA". It matches the Rfam family "Bacterial small subunit ribosomal RNA", at positions 524 to 776 of the family's 1533-position model. The record is from RNAcentral.